Molecule: long non-coding RNA, 225 nt
Organism: Mizuhopecten yessoensis (Yesso scallop)
Lineage: Eukaryota; Metazoa; Mollusca; Bivalvia; Pectinida; Pectinidae
Exons: 3
Source: RefSeq, a predicted model, not a curated record
ACCUUCGGUCACUGUUAAUGGUGACGGGAUAGACAACGACUGUGAUGGCCGAACGGACGAGGAGUUGUGUACACCGGAUAACAACCAAAACGAUGACGAUGGCGAUGGAGUGUCAGAUGAAGACUGUGUUCUUCCUCCGCCUGUUCAUGGAGUAUGGGAAACGUGGGAAGAAUGGUCCGAAUGUAACACGACGUGUUCCACCAGCGGUUCACCAAUAUCUCACGG